UACGAAGGGGGCUAGCGUUGUUCGGAAUUACUGGGCGUAAAGCGCACGUAGGCGGAUCGAUCAGUCAGGGGGUGAAAUCCCAGGGCUCAACCCUGGAACUGCCUUUGAUACUGUCGAUCUGGAGUAUGGAAGAGGUGAGUGGAAUUCCGAGUGUAGAGGUGAAAUUCGUAGAUAUUCGGAGGAACACCAGUGGCGAAGGCGGCUCACUGGUCCAUUACUGACGCUGAGGAGCGAAAGCUAGGGGAGCAAACGGG
Molecule: ribosomal RNA, 254 nt
Filed under: uncultured bacterium
Lineage: Bacteria
Description: partial 16S ribosomal RNA
Rfam family: Bacterial small subunit ribosomal RNA
Source: RNAcentral